RNAcentral lists this ribosomal RNA (447 nucleotides) under uncultured bacterium. RNAcentral describes it as "partial 16S ribosomal RNA". It matches the Rfam family "Bacterial small subunit ribosomal RNA", at positions 29 to 523 of the family's 1533-position model. The record is from RNAcentral.
AACGAACGCUGACGGCAGGCUUAACACAUGCAAGUCGAACGCCCCGCAAGGGGAGUGGCAGACGGGUGAGUAACGCGUGGGAAUCUACCCAGAACUACGGAACAACUGAGGGAAACUUCAGCUAAUACCGUAUACGCCCUACGGGGGAAAGAUUUAUCGGUUUUGGAUGAGCCCGCGUUAGAUUAGCUAGUUGGUGAGGUAACGGCUCACCAAGGCGACGAUCUAUAGCUGGUCUGAGAGGAUGAUCAGCCACACUGGGACUGAGACACGGCCCAGACUCCUACGGGAGGCAGCAGUGGGGAAUAUUGGACAAUGGGCGCAAGCCUGAUCCAGCCAUGCCGCGUGAGUGAUGAAGGCCUUAGGGCUGUAAAGCUCUUUCAGUGGGGACGAUAAUGACGGUACCCACAGAAGAAGCCCCGGCUAACUUCGUGCCAGCCGCCGCCGUAA